Molecule: ribosomal RNA, 1556 nt
Filed under: Escherichia coli
Lineage: Bacteria; Pseudomonadati; Pseudomonadota; Gammaproteobacteria; Enterobacterales; Enterobacteriaceae
Description: bacterial SSU rRNA
Rfam family: Bacterial small subunit ribosomal RNA
Source: RNAcentral
UUAAAUUGAAGAGUUUGAUCAUGGCUCAGAUUGAACGCUGGCGGCAGGCCUAACACAUGCAAGUCGAACGGUAACAGAAAUCAGCUUGCUGCUUUGCUGACGAGUGGCGGACGGGUGAGUAAUGUCUGGGAAACUGCCUGAUGGAGGGGGAUAACUACUGGAAACGGUAGCUAAUACCGCAUAACGUCGCAAGACCAAAGAGGGGGACCUUCGGGCCUCUUGCCAUCGGAUGUGCCCAGAUGGGAUUAGCUAGUAGGUGGGGUAACGGCUCACCUAGGCGACGAUCCCUAGCUGGUCUGAGAGGAUGACCAGCCACACUGGAACUGAGACACGGUCCAGACUCCUACGGGAGGCAGCAGUGGGGAAUAUUGCACAAUGGGCGCAAGCCUGAUGCAGCCAUGCCGCGUGUAUGAAGAAGGCCUUCGGGUUGUAAAGUACUUUCAGCGGGGAGGAAGGGAGUAAAGUUAAUACCUUUGCUCAUUGACGUUACCCGCAGAAGAAGCACCGGCUAACUCCGUGCCAGCAGCCGCGGUAAUACGGAGGGUGCAAGCGUUAAUCGGAAUUACUGGGCGUAAAGCGCACGCAGGCGGUUUGUUAAGUCAGAUGUGAAAUCCCCGGGCUCAACCUGGGAACUGCAUCUGAUACUGGCAAGCUUGAGUCUCGUAGAGGGGGGUAGAAUUCCAGGUGUAGCGGUGAAAUGCGUAGAGAUCUGGAGGAAUACCGGUGGCGAAGGCGGCCCCCUGGACGAAGACUGACGCUCAGGUGCGAAAGCGUGGGGAGCAAACAGGAUUAGAUACCCUGGUAGUCCACGCCGUAAACGAUGUCGACUUGGAGGUUGUGCCCUUGAGGCGUGGCUUCCGGAGCUAACGCGUUAAGUCGACCGCCUGGGGAGUACGGCCGCAAGGUUAAAACUCAAAUGAAUUGACGGGGGCCCGCACAAGCGGUGGAGCAUGUGGUUUAAUUCGAUGCAACGCGAAGAACCUUACCUGGUCUUGACAUCCACAGAACUUUCCAGAGAUGGAUUGGUGCCUUCGGGAACUGUGAGACAGGUGCUGCAUGGCUGUCGUCAGCUCGUGUUGUGAAAUGUUGGGUUAAGUCCCGCAACGAGCGCAACCCUUAUCCUUUGUUGCCAGCGGUCCGGCCGGGAACUCAAAGGAGACUGCCAGUGAUAAACUGGAGGAAGGUGGGGAUGACGUCAAGUCAUCAUGGCCCUUACGACCAGGGCUACACACGUGCUACAAUGGCGCAUACAAAGAGAAGCGACCUCGCGAGAGCAAGCGGACCUCAUAAAGUGCGUCGUAGUCCGGAUUGGAGUCUGCAACUCGACUCCAUGAAGUCGGAAUCGCUAGUAAUCGUGGAUCAGAAUGCCACGGUGAAUACGUUCCCGGGCCUUGUACACACCGCCCGUCACACCAUGGGAGUGGGUUGCAAAAGAAGUAGGUAGCUUAACCUUCGGGAGGGCGCUUACCACUUUGUGAUUCAUGACUGGGGUGAAGUCGUAACAAGGUAACCGUAGGGGAACCUGCGGUUGGAUCACCUCCUUACCUUAAAGAAGC